Molecule: ribosomal RNA, 256 nt
Filed under: uncultured Gardnerella sp.
Lineage: Bacteria; Bacillati; Actinomycetota; Actinomycetes; Bifidobacteriales; Bifidobacteriaceae
Description: partial 16S ribosomal RNA
Rfam family: Bacterial small subunit ribosomal RNA
Source: RNAcentral
CGAACGGGUGAGUAAUGCGUGACCAACCUGCCCCAUGCUCCAGAAUAGCUCUUGGAAACGGGUGGUAAUGCUGGAUGCUCCAACUUGACGCAUGUCUUGUUGGGAAAGUGUUUAGUGGCAUGGGAUGGGGUCGCGUCCUACCAGCUUGUAGGCGGGGUAAUGGCCCACCUAGGCUUCGACGGGUAGCCGGCCUGAGAGGGCGGACGGCCACAUUGGGACUGAGAUACGGCCCAGACUCCUACGGGAGGCAGCAGAA